Molecule: ribosomal RNA, 496 nt
Filed under: uncultured bacterium
Lineage: Bacteria
Description: partial 16S ribosomal RNA
Rfam family: Bacterial small subunit ribosomal RNA
Source: RNAcentral
GAUGAACGCUGGCGGCGUGCCUAAUACAUGCAAGUCGAGCGAACAGACGAGGAGCUUGCUCCUCUGACGUUAGCGGCGGACGGGUGAGUAACACGUGGAUAACCUACCUAUAAGACUGGGAUAACUUCGGGAAACCGGAGCUAAUACCGGAUAAUAUAUUGAACCGCAUGGUUCAAUAGUGAAAGACGGUUUUGCUGUCACUUAUAGAUGGAUCCGCGCCGCAUUAGCUAGUUGGUAAGGUAACGGCUUACCAAGGCAACGAUGCGUAGCCGACCUGAGAGGGGGAUCGGCCACACUGAAACUGAGACCCGGUCCAGACUCCUACGGGAGGCAGCAGUGGGGAUUCUUCCGCAAGGGGCGAAACCCUGACGGAGCAACGCCGCGUGAUUGAUGAAGGUCUUCGAUCGUAAAACUCUGUUAUUAGGGAAGAACAAAUGUGUAAGUAACUAUGCACGUCUUGACGGUACCUAAUCAGAAAGCCACGGCUAACUACGUG